UUUCAUUUACUUGAGUGUUUAAGUCGUUUAAUUAGAGAAAUUUCGAAAUUAGGGUUUCUAAUUGAGAAAUUAGGGUUUUUAAUUGAAAUUGGGGCUUUUUGUACUUAGAUCACAUUUUCACUCAAUUAGAUUCGGUUAAGGCUAGAUUAAAUAGAAUUUAACUACUCAAUCUCUGAGGGACGAUAUUCAGACUUUUAAAAAUCCACUUUAUUACUCGUUAUGAACUGUACACUUGCGGUAGUUUUAAAUCGAAAGAAUUAUUUCGUGAACAGCUAUUCAUAAUAAAUGUUCUCUAAUUCAGUUUCAGGUUAUUCUGCUAAUAUCUCUACUAGCAUCAAUUCAAUUCCAAUGUUAAAUGGCACAAACUUCAGGGCAUGGCAAGAGAACGUUAUGAUUGUUCUCGGAGUCAUGGACCUAGACCUUGCUUUACGGGUCGAUCAACCUGCUGCACUUACUGAUAAGAGUACCUCUGAUGACAAGAGGGAGAUGGAAAAGUGGGAACGAUCGAACCGCAUAAGCUUAAUGGUCAUGAAGCGUGCUAUUCCAGAAGCAUUCCGGGGCACUAUGUCCGAUAAGGUGACUACGGCUAAGGGUUUCCUUGAGAACCUUGAGAAGAGGUUUGCCAAGAAUGAAAAGGCUGAAACAAGUACACUUUUGGCAAAUCUUGUCUCAAUGAGGUAUAAAGGGAAAUGAAACAUUCGGGAGUACAUUAUGGAAAUGUCUCACAUUGCUUCAAAACUAAAGACGCUCAAGUUGGAUUUAUCUGAAGACUUGUUAGUGCACUUGGUUCUGAUAUCCCUUUCGGCACAUUUCAGUCAAUUCAAGGUGAGUUAUAACUGUCAAAAGGACUCAUGGUCCCUUAAUGAGCUCAUCUCACACUGUGUCCAGGAAGAGGAAAGACUGAAGCAUGAAAAGACAGAAAGUGCUCAUUUAGCCACUACCUCUAAGGACAAAAGCAACAAGAAAAGGAAGAUUAAUAAGGAAGCUGCAGGUACAGCACCGCAAAAGAAACAGCAUAAGGAACCAACUGAAGGCGGUUAUUUCUUCUGUGGAGCUGCAGGUCAUAAGAAGAAGAAUUACACCAAUUACCACGCAUGGCGUGUAAAGAAAGGUACUCUUCUUCAUUUGGUUUGUUCUGAGAUUAAUUUAACUUCGGUAUCUAGACAUACAUGGUGGAUAGAUUCUGGUGCAACAACUCACAUCAGUAUGUCUAUGCAGGGUUGCCUGAGUUGCCGAAAAUCAAGUGAUGGGGAAAGAUACAUCUAUGCUGGCGACGGCAAUAGAAUGGAAGUAGAGGCAAUAGGAAAAUUUAGAUUAUUGUUAAAGACUGGAU
RNAcentral lists this long non-coding RNA (1333 nucleotides) under Olea europaea subsp. europaea. Lineage: Eukaryota; Viridiplantae; Streptophyta; Magnoliopsida; Lamiales; Oleaceae. The record is from RNAcentral.